Molecule: ribosomal RNA, 351 nt
Filed under: uncultured bacterium
Lineage: Bacteria
Description: partial 16S ribosomal RNA
Rfam family: Bacterial small subunit ribosomal RNA
Source: RNAcentral
CCUACGGGUGUCAGCAGUAGGGAAUAUUGCUCAAUGGGGGAAACCCUGAAGCAGCCACGCCGCGUGUAGGAUGAAGGUUUUCGGAUUGUAAACUCCUUUUGUUAGAGAAGCUAAUGACGGUAUCUAACGCAUAAGCACCGGCUAACUCCGUGCCAGCAGCCGCGGUUAUACGGAGGGUGCAAGCGUUACUCGGAAUCACUGGGCGUAAAGAGCGCGUAGGCGGGAUAGCAGGUCAUAUGUGAAAUCCUAUGGCUUAACCAUAGAACUGCAUUUGAAACUGUUAUUCUAGAGUAAGGGAGAGGUAGGCGGAAUUCGUGGGGUAGCGGUAAAAUGCGUAGAGAUCAAGCGGAA